RNAcentral lists this ribosomal RNA (400 nucleotides) under uncultured bacterium. Its description in RNAcentral is "bacterial SSU rRNA". It matches the Rfam family "Bacterial small subunit ribosomal RNA", at positions 355 to 771 of the family's 1533-position model. The record is from RNAcentral.
UCGAGAAUAUUCGACAAUGGGCGAAAGCCUGAUCGAGCGACGCCGCGUGCAGGAAGAAGGCCUUCGGGUUGUAAACUGCUUUUGCCAGGGAAGAAUUUUGACGGUACCUGGCGAAUAAGGGGUUGCUAACUCUGUGCCAGCAGCAGCGGUAAUACAGAGACCCCGAGCGUUAUCCGGAAUUACUGGGCGUAAAGCGCAAGCAGCCGGUCGCAUUAGUCCGAUGUAAAAUCGUGGGGCCCAACCUCACGCCCGCAUUGGAAACGGUGCGACUCGAGCGGAUGAGAGGAGAGCAGAACGUAUGGUGUAGGGGUGAAAUCCACUGAUAUCAUACGGAAUACCAAAAGCGAAGGCAGCUCUCUGGCGUCUUGCUGACGGUCAAUUGCGAAAGCGUGGGGAUCAA